This is a long non-coding RNA of Camelus dromedarius (Arabian camel), 5205 nucleotides long. RefSeq lists it as uncharacterized. Lineage: Eukaryota; Metazoa; Chordata; Mammalia; Artiodactyla; Camelidae. The record is from RefSeq and is a predicted model, not a curated record. The transcript has 2 exons.
AGCAUCUGAAGAGGUUUUCUAAUGGAUAAAAUCAGAUCAUUUUAUUUUAAUGCGUACGAGAAUGUUAUCAUACAUGUUGAUGCAUUCAUUUAUUCAGAUAUUUAUUGAGCACCUACUGUGUGCCAGGUACUAUUCCAGAACACAGCAGUGAGCACUUUCCAGAUGCCCACAUCUAGUAAGAAGAGCCAGAGCAACAAUCAAGCAAGCAAACAAAUAAACGUGGCGCUUGGGACAGCGACGCAUGCCAUGAGGGAAAUGAGACUGGUAACUCAGAGUCUAAGAGGAAGAGGAGAAAGCAGCUAGAGGGAAGACCUCCCUGAGGAGGGGGCAUUGGAUCUGAGAUCCAAGACAUGCAGCUUUAGGAAGAUCUUUUCCGGCAGAGGGAGUAAGAAUUGCAAAAGUCUUGAGGUGGGAAGGGGAAAAGGGUGGGUGUGGCUGGAACUUGACAGGUACGAGUAUGUUAGGGAGGCAGGUAGAGGCCAGCAGCGUAGAGCCUGUGGGCCUUUUAGAGUAUGAAGUCUUUGGAAAGUUUUACAGGCAUACAAGGUGUAUUGUGUUUUUGGAGAGGUUAGACUGGAGCGUACAGGACAGCAGGGUGAUCAAGGGGGCUGGUUAGAUGGCAGUCACUGCAGUCCAUGUGAGAGGUAAGGGCAGUGUGGACUAGGAGUGGAGGUAGACAGGAGUGGGCAAGUUCAGGAUCGAUUGUGAAGACCCACCUGUGGUAACUUGCUGAUGAAUUGGGGGAGGGUUCGUGUUAAGUCUGAGAUUGAUGCUCAGAUAUCUGCAUGGAAACUGCACGUAGGCACAUGGCUAUAGGAUGUGGAGCUGAGGGGAGAUCAGGGCUAGAGAGAAAAAUUGGGAAGACAUGUUGAUGUCAUUUAAAGCUGGGAUGAGGAAGUGAGUGCACACCAGAGGACAGCCUUGGGCCAGACUCCGGGGUCCAGCACUGUUUAAGUUUGGGUGUAGGAGGAGAAGCCAGCAAAGACGAUUGAGAAGCAGCAGCCAAACAGGUUGAAGGAAAACUAGAAAAUGAAAAGUCCUUCCUGGACUUUGCAAGAGAAGAAAUAGUUCCAAAAGUGGGAAGUAGUGAACUGUGUUGAAUACCCCUGGGAUAUUGAGGAAGAUAAGGAUAGAGAUGUGUAUGUUUGGAUUAGAUAACAGGGAAUGGAUUGGUAUCCUUAACAAAAGAAUGUGAAGUCAGUGAUGAGACCCAAGCAGUGAGUGGAGGUGAGGAUGUAGUGAGACAUGAAAAAUUCUUUUAAACUCUUUUGUUGGAAAGAAGAAUAGAGAGAAGGGGGAGAAUCUGGAGGGCAUAUGGUCUAGAUUUUUUUUUUAGACAGGAUUCUGUAGACUCUAAUGUAGUGACCACAGCAUGAUAGGAAUGAUCUGGUGUGUAGGGGGUGAAGUGUAUUUGUUUUCUAUUGCUGUGUAACAAAAUACCACACACUUUUUGGCUUACAACCGUUCUCCCAGUAUCUGUGGGUUAGGAGUCUGGGCCAGGCUUAGCUCGGUCUGCUGCUGAGUCUCACAAGGCUGCAAUCAAGGUGUUAGGUGGGCUGCAUUCUCAUCUGGAGGCUUGACUGGGGCAGGAUUCACUUCUAGCCUCACUCAGGUUGUUAGCAGAACUCAUUCUCUUGCAUCUCUAGUCCGAGGAUCCAGCUUCUUUGCUGCCUGUUACUCAUGGGCUGCCCUCAGCGCCUACAGCCCCACCCCACCCCCACCUCCACUCCUGCAGGGUGUUGUUACGUCGUUCCCUCAACAUGGCCUCUUUCUGCAUCAAGUCAGCAAGGAGAAUCUUAGCCUUGUCUGCUAGCAAGAUGGAGACUCAUAUAAGGCACUCUAAUCAUGGGGGCAGGACCCUAUCAUCUUUGCCACAUUCUAUUGGUUAGAGGUGAAUGAUGGGUUCUACUCACACUGAAAGCAAGAAGAUAUGCAAGAGCAUGAAUACCAGGAGGUGAGGAUCUUUGAGGGUCACCUUAGGGAGGAACCGAAGAUGCAGAGAAAAGAGAGCAAACUGCAGGAGGAAGUCCUUGGAAAAAGUCAUAGGAGAGGGGACCUGGGACCCAAAUAUAAGGAUUGGCCUUUGACAGAGCAAGGCCCCUUCUUCCACUGAAUUAGAGAGAAGGCAGAGACAGUGAGUCCAGAUGUGGGUAGUUGUAUAUUGGAUGGUGGUCAGAUGAAGCAGUACUUGUCUGAAGGCUUCUGUUUUCCCCAUGGAGCUGGAGGGCAGGCCAUCAGCUGAGAGUGCAGGAGAUCUGAAGUCAGAGCUGAAGUCAGGAGACAGUGUUGUGGGAGAGCAGGAGAGCAAACGAACCAUCCGACGGAGCUGCCUGACUGUCGCGAGGACCCACCUGAUGCCGCGGUUCCACACUGACAGUGUAAGCAGUCUGCCUGGGUGUGUGAUUACCCCAGCCUCGUUCCACAGAGUAAUAAUAACAAAAGGGAUCCUAGCUAGUGCUUAUUGAGUUAUUUAAUUACUGUGGCUAGUACAAAUCGAAAUGUGUCGUUUCAUUUAAACUUCAUUACAUCCCUGGUCAGGCAUUCUUACUAUCAUCAUCCUCAUUUUACAGAAGUGAUAAGCACUUGAAGAUACACUGGCGUUAGGUGGCAGAGCAGGUGUUUGAACCCUGGGCCAUCUAACUCCAGAGCUAGUACCCUUAUGCCUCACACUCUGCCGUCUCUUGUAGACAAAGCAGAGAGCUAGAUUCAGCAGAGAUGCAGUUUAGGCAGGUGAGCUGUGGAACGAGAGAGAGAACAUUGUGCUGAUCAAGUUGGCCCUGCUGUGACUGUAAUGAUGAGAUCUAAGAAAAGUGAGGACAGGAAGGGGCCAGGGGCUGCCGAAAAAGUCGUGGGUUAGUGGAGUGGAGAAAACAAAGAGGAAUCCAAUAAAAUCAAUAAAAGAACGGGAAGGAAAUGCAGGACAACUUGGGUUCCAAGAUCACGUUAACCUGAAUGAAUAUUUGCUAAAUCCUUAAAGCCAGGAACGGUACUAACUGCUUUAUAUGAAGGAGGAAGGAUCUCAUGAGAAGUUCUGACUUGGGAAUCAACAUGACCCCAUUCGCCAGCUGAGUAUACUGACUUGGAAGUGACGUAGUGCACCUGAGGCCACGUGGUCACCAGUGGCGCCACAGUUCACGCCCAUACGCUGUACUGUUCAUCUCCCUGUAUUUAUUUGUGAUGUUUGUGCCCAUUUAUACCUGGGAGGAUUUGCCACAGCUGAGGAAAGAGAGGAAUACAUGCUGCUAAGUAUCUGAGAUCUUGAUUACUAUAAGGGACACUAAUUUAGGCUCUGAAAGAGACAAGAAGAAAAACUUUGUUUCACACAGUUUUCAGUUUCUGAUCAAAGAAGCUUACACAUUUAUUGGCAGUGGUAAGAUUCCACCAUCCCCUAAAAAAAAAAAAAAACAAAAAAAGCCCAUCACCUCUUGGACCCUUGAAUGAGGAACACUAGGUAAACAAUAUCUUCAACCAGAGUUAAAAAAAAAAAAAAUACAAGGACACUGUCAAACGGAGGAAGGAUUCUAAAAUAAACUGUUACUCAGUGAAGGCAGAACAGUAGGGGGCUGAGAUAACAAGGCCCAGGACUGUGCUCCACGAUGCGUGUAUUCGUUUAGGGACAAGAGCCGGAGAAUCUGACAGAAUUGAUAAUGUACUGUCAUAAUCAGUUGAGGUAAAAGCUGGACACGAAAGACUGCUAGGAGUUCUAUCAAGAGUCCACCUGCUGGAAAACCAGGAAGAAAGGCUUCUAAGUGAGAUAGUAUGUGUCAAAACACCCACUUUCGGGGCUCAAUCAAUAUUAAUCGAGUGGGAUCUACUCCGUGUGUGCCAGCUCUUUGGGGAUGGUUAACACGUCUAUUAGACUAUCUCUUGACUAUCAGAUGACUUUUAAGAAGCCUUUGGCAGGGACCGUGAAGCAAGCGCCGAAUUCCAAUUUGCUAACAAGUAUGUGUCUUGCAAAUGGUCUACGUUGGCUGGAGGGAGAGGCAUGUGCUUAUGAUACCAGACAAAGUUGUCAUUCGCUGAAUUGUCAACUGCCAGACUUGGAAGGGAAACAGAGAUUAUCUAGUAACUCAAUAUCCUCCUUUGACGGCUCAGGACACUGGGACCAUGCAAGGUGAAGUGCCUUGUCCGGCUCGAGCUGCUGAGCAAGUUAGGAGGGGCCGGGAUUAGCGCUCUGGUCUGCCAACCCCAAAUCGUCACCCUCCUUCCUGGGUUAGUCUUUUGUGCCUGGAAUGAUCUGCAGUUCGCGCCUUUGGAGUUGUGGUUAGAGAAAUCACAAUUUCCUGGAGUGAUCUACCACUCACUGCUUAUCAGCUUCUAUUUCUGGAAUGUUCUUCCUUCCUAAAGUACCUCAGGCGGAGGUGGUCUCACCUGUGGCUUUGGGGGGUAGGCGGUCCCUCUGUGAAUCCUGCCCGGGCCGGCCCCCCUCCCUCUGCAGUUUCCGAGGGACAUGUAUACUCAGAGGAUGAUAAUAAAUGGCGAAUCGGCCCCAUUUCAUUGUGAACUGGUUCCCUUACUCUCCGGUGCGGGGCUUCUAGUAAACUGGCCUAGAACAUGUCAUUUAUACUCAGCCCUUAACCAGGGCCUUGCCUCCUUCCCCAGAUUUUACUACUAGUUGACCAUGGAGUGCUCUGCAGCACAAGCAUUAAGACAGAGAGGAGGAAAAGCAAGAAGUCAGGUCUUAACCUGGAAUCCGCUGACCCAUGCCUCUUGGUGAGAAGGAGCAGAGGGCUUCAGCCAGGAUGUCCUUGACCUCUGCGAGCGCUUGGACCGUGUCCUCCCACCCCAGGUGGGGGUUGGCGGGGCAAGGAGCGGGAGCUUUCCCUCCCCGCUGCCAAGUGCACUGUCAGAACUUCUGAUCUGCACGGAACAACCAGUCUUGUACCAGGACUCGAUGUGAGGUCUGCUGAGGUGGAGGCACCUUGACCUCUGAGUUGCCCUGUGCCGGCUCAUAUUAAGGAGACCAAGGAGGCUUAAGAGGCAAAGAAUUAAGAAGGUCCUGCCUGUGCAUUGCCCCGCGAUGACUGACCCAGAGUGCGUGGUCUCCUUGUUACAGAUGACAGUUACCAGUGACACGCUUGCUUUCCUUAUGUUCUUGAUUUGAUGGAAGGUUGAGUGAAAAUAAAAUCACCCUGAUGCAGAUGUAUUGGGAAUGGGUAGUCUAAAUAAAUGAAUGUCAAAAGUGCUCUGACAUUUUAAAUUAAA